RNAcentral lists this ribosomal RNA (301 nucleotides) under uncultured bacterium. RNAcentral's name for it is "partial 16S ribosomal RNA". It matches the Rfam family "Bacterial small subunit ribosomal RNA", at positions 509 to 807 of the family's 1533-position model. The record is from RNAcentral.
CAGUCGCCACGGGAAUACGUAGGGUGCAAGCGUUAAUCGGAAUUACUGGGCGUAAAGCGUGCGCAGGCGGUUUGUUAAGACAGAUGUGAAAUCCCCGGGCUCAACCUGGGAACUGCAUUUGUGACUGGCAAGCUAGAGUGUGGCAGAGGGGGGUGGAAUUCCGCGUGUAGCAGUGAAAUGCGUAGAUAUGCGGAGGAACACCGAUGGCGAAGGCAGCCCCCUGGGCCAACACUGACGCUCAUGCGCGAAAGCGUGGGGAGCAAGCAGGAUUAGAUACCCGCGUAGUCCCUGUCUCUUAUAC